This 544-nucleotide long non-coding RNA is filed under the name Sus scrofa (pig). RNAcentral describes it as "lncRNA (ENSSSCG00065006191.1)". Lineage: Eukaryota; Metazoa; Chordata; Mammalia; Artiodactyla; Suidae. The record is from RNAcentral.
UUUAAAAAUCACCUUCGUCCAUUUCUCUCAUUUUCGGUGUCUUCCAGGCAGCUGCUCCCUUAUCUCUGAUCUAUGAGGGCUUUGUGAUUUCUGCUAUGAGUAAUAGAGAUAUUUCCAGAAAGGAAAACAAAUCCCUGCUUCACCCCCAACCUUCUGCAGAGGAAGAAAGUACUAUGAAAAUAACAAGGACCCUGGGAAGAAUGAGGAAGAAGAAAGCAGCAGAGUGAAGAUGCUUGCAGGUACAUAUGACAGUGCUGCAGCGAUGAGCGGAAUUUUAAAAGGGAAGUUGGAAGAAAUUGACGGCUCCUCACCCUGCUCCUCUGUGCAAGAAUCCGAUGAUGAAGUUUUUAGCUCUGACAUUGCUGCCAGUAUUGAUAGGGUCAGUCUGUCCACUUCUAAUCAUUUCACUGGUGAGUAUCUGAGAUUCUAUUUCAGGUACUCUAAAUUGUGUUGUGUGGCUGAUUCUAGGCGUUUUUAUAUGUAUCCACUGGCUAUAUCUGCACUCAAGCUGUUUAUCAUAGCAGACUUAAUUUGCAAAACAUAA